This 562-nucleotide long non-coding RNA is filed under the name Ricinus communis (castor bean). RNAcentral's name for it is "long non-coding RNA (RCOM_LNC002397)". The record is from RNAcentral. Lineage: Eukaryota; Viridiplantae; Streptophyta; Magnoliopsida; Malpighiales; Euphorbiaceae.
UUUGACAGGAAGACACAAGAAGAAAGAGAUUUAUGAAUUUGAACUUGGUUAAAAAAGAAAAGAGAAGGGGGGAAUGGUAGAGUUUGAACAGAAAAUAGCAGGCAGAAGACAGGGAAUGUCACAGCCGACUCAAUAAAGAGUUUGAUGUCCCAAUGUUAUCCUGAUAAUUUGGUACCAUUUUGAUUUGGAAGUUUGGGACCUCUGUCGACAAGCCUGCCUUAACAUGCACAUAUAGCUGUUUCUAAUUACUAUUCCUACCUAUAUCUCAUUUUAUUCGUUGUUUUUUUUUCUUUUCCUUUUUUUCUCCAAUAUUCUCUUUUAAAGCUGCAAUGGGUGCAUAAUAGUGCCAAACUCCAUUAUUGAAUUGGGAUUUUUAUGUGUGUACGUAUAGAUUGUUUAUGCUCUAAUAAUAACCCUUUUCAAAUUCUGAGUAUUCAUGUGAAUUGGGAGUUUUCUGCUUUUAUUUGAUGGUGAAUGGACUUGCUUGAAUCUACAUGUUUAUAACUUUAUUAAUAUGAAUGGUUCUUAGAGAAGUUUUAGGUGAACAAAAUCUUGAACAAAC